UGACUGAGCUUAUGUCAGCUCAGGCGAGGACUAUCACUGAUGGAUUGACGAGCAGGUUGGAUAUCAUGACUGCUGAGAUUAGCGAUCUCAGAGAGGAGGUCGGAGCAUUACGGAGAGAGAGAGAGGCUCAUGGUCCAUCUGUGCCCCGAGCAGCUGAGUCAGAGGUUUCGGCACAGAGUCAUCCAGCUCAGCGAGGUCCACGCCAGACUUAGUCCCAUCAGGCUCGACCUCCCCUCGCCACUUAUGCUAGGAGGAUGAGGACUAGAUCACAGCCAUUAGAUACCCCCUAGGCUAAUGUUAGCACUUUUGGUAUUAGUGCCUAGGAUUUAUCUAGUUCUCAUAUGUAUUUUGUGUUGAUCAUGUACUUUGCACUUUGAUUGAAGAACAUUGUAUUUUUGGUGUUAAUGUACUACAAUGGUUCAUGUUUGAUCAGUAAAAUCUGUAUGAUUACUAUUUACUGCGUCUACUUAUCUAUUGCCAUGCACCUAUUUGAUGAUAACAAAAAGGGGGAGAAGCAAGGAAAGAAAAUUAAGUUGUAAUAAGUUGACAAACAAGGACAAUAUACACUUAAGGGGG
RNAcentral lists this long non-coding RNA (576 nucleotides) under Phoenix dactylifera (date palm). RNAcentral describes it as "long non-coding RNA (PDAC_LNC015906)". The record is from RNAcentral. Lineage: Eukaryota; Viridiplantae; Streptophyta; Magnoliopsida; Arecales; Arecaceae.